Molecule: ribosomal RNA, 440 nt
Filed under: uncultured bacterium
Lineage: Bacteria
Description: partial 16S ribosomal RNA
Rfam family: Bacterial small subunit ribosomal RNA
Source: RNAcentral
CCUACGGGAGGCAGCAGUGGGGAAUAUUGCACAAUGGGGGAAAGCCUGAUGCAGCGACGUCGCGUGAGUGAAGACGGACCUAGGUAUGGAAAGCUCUAUCAGCAGGGAAGAAAAUGACGGUACGUGACUAAGAAGCCGCGGCUAACUACGUGACAGCAGCCGCGGGAAUCCGUAGGGGGCAAGCGUUAACCGGAUUUAUUGGGUGUAAAGGGAGCGUAGACGGGGCUGCAAGUCCGGUGUGAAAGCCAUUGGCUUAACCAUGGUACUGCUCUGGAAACUGGGGUGCUUGAGUGCGGGAGGGGCAUGCGGAAUGCCUGGUGUAGCGGUGAAAUGCGUAGAUAUUAGGAGGAACACCGGCGGCGAAGGCGGCCUGCUGGAGCGUAACUGACGUUGAGGCUCGAAAGCGUGGGGAGCAAACAGGAUUAGAUACCCGGGUAGUC